Molecule: long non-coding RNA, 405 nt
Organism: Antechinus flavipes (yellow-footed antechinus)
Lineage: Eukaryota; Metazoa; Chordata; Mammalia; Dasyuromorphia; Dasyuridae
Exons: 2
Source: RefSeq, a predicted model, not a curated record
GCCAGAAGCCUUGUCCCCGCACACACUGCAGACCUCGUUCCCCAGCAUCUUGGGAGCCGGCCCCUUUUUCCUCUUCAGUGGCCUCCGCUCUGUAGGAAGGUCAGACCCUCAUCUCCUCUAGCCUGGACUACUGGAACAAUGGCCUGCUUGGACUUUCUCCCUCUGAUCUAUCGGUCACCCAGUUAUCAAACUGAUAUUCCUCGCCUGCAGGUCUUAACCACAUCUCUGUCUGUCUCCUGCUGAAGAAACUCGCAAGUGCCUCCAGAAUAAAACCGAAAAACCUUCCUCUAGCAACGUGUUCCUUAAGGACAGAGACUGUUUUUGCUUUUGUCUUCAUAUUCCUGGAGAUAAAUGCAGAGCCUGAUACAUAAUUUUUAAUAAACGUUUGUUUAAGGGGAGGGGAAA